Molecule: ribosomal RNA, 253 nt
Filed under: uncultured bacterium
Lineage: Bacteria
Description: partial 16S ribosomal RNA
Rfam family: Bacterial small subunit ribosomal RNA
Source: RNAcentral
UACGAAGGGGGCUAGCGUUGUUCGGAAUCACUGGGCGUAAAGGGCGCGUAGGCGGCUUUAUAAGUCGGGUGUGAAAGCCUGUGGCUCAACCACAGAAUUGCCUUCGAUACUGUAGAGCUUGAGACCGGAAGAGGUAAGUGGAACUGCGAGUGUAGAGGUGAAAUUCGUAGAUAUUCGCAAGAACACCAGUGGCGAAGGCGGCUUACUGGUCCGGUUCUGACGCUGAGGCGCGAAAGCGUGGGGAGCAAACAGG